GUGGGGAAUAUUGGACAAUGGGCGAAAGCCUGAUCCAGCCAUGCCGCGUGUGUGAAGAAGGUCUUCGGAUUGUAAAGCACUUUAAGUUGGGAGGAAGGGCAGUAAGUUAAUACCUUGCUGUUUUGACGUUACCGACAGAAUAAGCACCGGCUAACUUCGUGCCAGCAGCCGCGGUAAUACGAAGGGUGCAAGCGUUAAUCGGAAUUACUGGGCGUAAAGCGCGCGUAGGUGGUUUUGUAAGUUGGAGGUGAAAUCCCCGGGCUCAACCUGGGAACUGCCUCCAAAACUGAAUGACUAGAGUACGGUAGAGGGUAGUGGAAUUUCCUGUGUAGCGGUGAAAUGCGUAGAUAUAGGAAGGAACACCAGUGGCGAAGGCGACUACCUGGACUGAUACUGACACUGAGGUGCGAAAGCGUGGGGAGCAAACAGGAUUAGAAACCCCGGUAGUCC
RNAcentral lists this ribosomal RNA (450 nucleotides) under uncultured bacterium. RNAcentral's name for it is "partial 16S ribosomal RNA". It matches the Rfam family "Bacterial small subunit ribosomal RNA", at positions 354 to 796 of the family's 1533-position model. The record is from RNAcentral.